UGAUACAAUCUAGGUUAUAGGGUC
RNAcentral lists this microRNA (24 nucleotides) under Gallus gallus (chicken). RNAcentral's name for it is "microRNA Ros-gga". Lineage: Eukaryota; Metazoa; Chordata; Aves; Galliformes; Phasianidae. The record is from RNAcentral.